Molecule: ribosomal RNA, 722 nt
Filed under: Cytobacillus oceanisediminis
Lineage: Bacteria; Bacillati; Bacillota; Bacilli; Caryophanales; Bacillaceae
Description: bacterial SSU rRNA
Rfam family: Bacterial small subunit ribosomal RNA
Source: RNAcentral
GGGAGCUUGCUCCCUGAAGUCAGCGGCGGACGGGUGAGUAACACGUGGGCAACCUGCCUGUAAGACUGGGAUAACUCCGGGAAACCGGGGCUAAUACCGGAUAAUUCUUUCCCUCACAUGAGGGAAAGCUGAAAGAUGGUUUCGGCUAUCACUUACAGAUGGGCCCGCGGCGCAUUAGCUAGUUGGUGAGGUAACGGCUCACCAAGGCAACGAUGCGUAGCCGACCUGAGAGGGUGAUCGGCCACACUGGGACUGAGACACGGCCCAGACUCCUACGGGAGGCAGCAGUAGGGAAUCUUCCGCAAUGGACGAAAGUCUGACGGAGCAACGCCGCGUGAGUGAUGAAGGUUUUCGGAUCGUAAAACUCUGUUGUUAGGGAAGAACAAGUACCGGAGUAACUGCCGGUACCUUGACGGUACCUAACCAGAAAGCCACGGCUAACUACGUGCCAGCAGCCGCGGUAAUACGUAGGUGGCAAGCGUUGUCCGGAAUUAUUGGGCGUAAAGCGCGCGCAGGCGGUUCCUUAAGUCUGAUGUGAAAGCCCCCGGCUCAACCGGGGAGGGUCAUUGGAAACUGGGGAACUUGAGUGCAGAAGAGAAGAGUGGAAUUCCACGUGUAGCGGUGAAAUGCGUAGAGAUGUGGAGGAACACCAGUGGGCGAAGGCGACUCUUUGGUCUGUAACUGACGCUGAGGCGCGAAAGCGUGGGGAGCAAACAGGAUUA